RNAcentral lists this ribosomal RNA (484 nucleotides) under uncultured bacterium. RNAcentral's name for it is "partial 16S ribosomal RNA". It matches the Rfam family "Bacterial small subunit ribosomal RNA", at positions 30 to 507 of the family's 1533-position model. The record is from RNAcentral.
AUUGAACGCUGGCGGCAUGCCUAACACAUGCAAGUCGAGCGGAUGAAGGGAGCUUGCUCCUGGAUUCAGCGGCGGACGGGUGAGUAAUGCCUAGGAAUCUGCCUGGUCGUGGGGGAUAACGUCCGGAAACGGGCGCUAAUACCGCAUACGUCCUGAGGGAGAAAGUGGGGGAUCUUCGGACCUCACGCUAUCUGAUGAGCCUAGGUCGGAUUAGCUAGUUGGUGGGGUAAAGGCCUACCAAGGCGACGAUCCGUAACUGGUCUGAGAGGAUGAUCAGUCACACUGGAACUGAGACACGGUCCAGACUCCUACGGGAGGCAGCAGUGGGGAAUAUUGGACAAUGGGCGAAAGCCUGAUCCAGCCAUGCCGCGUGUGUGAAGAAGGUCUUCGGAUUGUAAAGCACUUUAAGUUGGGAGGAAGGGCAGUAAGUUAAUACCUUGCUGUUUUGACGUUACCAACAGAAUAAGCACCGGCUAACUUCGUG